This 433-nucleotide ribosomal RNA is filed under the name uncultured bacterium. Its description in RNAcentral is "partial 16S ribosomal RNA". It matches the Rfam family "Bacterial small subunit ribosomal RNA", at positions 29 to 507 of the family's 1533-position model. The record is from RNAcentral.
AACGAACGCUGGCGGCAUGCCUAACACAUGCAAGUCGAACGAGACCUUCGGGUCUAGUGGCGCACGGGUGCGUAACGCGUGGGAACCUGCCCUUAGGUUCGGAAUAACUCCCCGAAAGGGGUGCUAAUACCGGAUAAUGUCUUCGGACCAAAGAUUUAUCGCCUUUGGAUGGGCCCGCGUUGGAUUAGCUAGUUGGUAGGGUAAAAGCCUACCAAGGCGACGAUCCAUAGCUGGUCUGAGAGGAUGAUCAGCCACACUGGGACUGAGACACGGCCCAGACUCCUACGGGAGGCAGCAGUGGGGAAUAUUGGACAAUGGGCGAAAGCCUGAUCCAGCAAUGCCGCGUGAGUGAUGAAGGCCUUAGGGUUGUAAGGCUCUUCUACCCGGGAUGAUAAUGACAGUACCGGGAGAAUAAGCUCCGGCUAACUCCGUG